GCUUGGGGCGGCUUUACACAUGCAGUCGAGCGGUAGCACAGGGAGAGCUUGCUCCCUGGGUGACGAGCGGCGGACGGGUGAGUAAUGUCUGGGAAACUGCCUGAUGGAGGGGGAUAACUACUGGAAACGGUAGCUAAUACCGCAUAACGUCGCAAGACCAAAGAGGGGGACCUUCGGGCCUCUUGCCAUCAGAUGUGCCCAGAUGGGAUUAGCUAGUAGGUGGGGUAAUGGCUCACCUAGGCGACGAUCCCUAGCUGGUCUGAGAGGAUGACCAGCCACACUGGAACUGAGACACGGUCCAGACUCCUACGGGAGGCAGCAGUGGGGAAUAUUGCACAAUGGGCGCAAGCCUGAUGCAGCCAUGCCGCGUGUGUGAAGAAGGCCUUCGGGUUGUAAAGCACUUUCAGCGAGGAGGAAGGUGGUGAGCUUAAUACGCUCAUCAAUUGACGUUACUCGCAGAAGAAGCACCGGCUAACUCCGUGCCAGCAGCCGCGGUAAUACGGAGGGUGCAAGCGUUAAUCGGAAUUACUGGGCGUAAAGCGCACGCAGGCGGUUUGUUAAGUCAGAUGUGAAAUCCCCGGGCUCAACCUGGGAACUGCAUUUGAAACUGGCAAGCUAGAGUCUCGUAGAGGGGGGUAGAAUUCCAGGUGUAGCGGUGAAAUGCGUAGAGAUCUGGAGGAAUACCGGUGGCGAAGGCGGCCCCCUGGACGAAGACUGACGCUCAGGUGCGAAAGCGUGGGGAGCACACAGGAUUAGAUACCCUGGUAGUCCACGCUGUAAACGAUGUCGAUUUGGAGGUUGUGCCCUUGAGGCGUGGCUUCCGGAGCUAACGCGUUAUAUCGACCGCCUGGGGAGUACGGCCGCAAGGUUAAAACUCAUAUGAAUUGACGGGGGGCCCGCACAAGCGGUGGGAGCAUGUGGGUUUAAUUCGAUGCAACGCGGAAGAACCUUACCUACUUCUUGACAUCCAGAAGAACUUAACCAGAAGAUGCUUUGGGGGCUUUCGGGAAACUCCUGAAAAAAGUGCUGCC
RNAcentral lists this ribosomal RNA (1031 nucleotides) under Serratia sp. (in: enterobacteria). RNAcentral describes it as "bacterial SSU rRNA". It matches the Rfam family "Bacterial small subunit ribosomal RNA", at positions 35 to 1045 of the family's 1533-position model. Lineage: Bacteria; Pseudomonadati; Pseudomonadota; Gammaproteobacteria; Enterobacterales; Yersiniaceae. The record is from RNAcentral.